GACGAACGCUGGCGGCGUGCUUAACACAUGCAAGUCGAACGGAAAGGCCUGCUUUCCCUUGUGGAUUGCGGGUACUCGAGUGGCGAACGGGUGAGUAACACGUGAGUGAUCUGCACCCAACUUGGGUAUAAGCCUGGGAAACUGGGUCUAAUUCUCGAUAGGACUGCAGGGUGGUGCCUGUGGUGGAAAACGAUUUUCUAGUGGUUGGGGAUGAGCUCGCGGCCUAUCAGCUUGUUGGUGGGGUAAUGGCCUACCAAGGCGGCGACGGGUAGCCGGCCUGGGAGGGUGGACGGCCAAACUGGGACAGGGAUACGGCCCAGACGCCUACGAGAGGCAGGAGUGGGGAAUAAUGCACAGUAGGCGGAAGGCUGAUGCGGCGACGGCGCGUGGGGGAUGACGGCCUUCGGGUUGUAAACUCCUUGCGACCGCGAGGAAGCCACCUGGUUGGAAGGGUGGUGACGGUAGUGGUAGAAGAAGCACCGGCUAACUACGUG
This 494-nucleotide ribosomal RNA is filed under the name uncultured bacterium. RNAcentral's name for it is "partial 16S ribosomal RNA". It matches the Rfam family "Bacterial small subunit ribosomal RNA", at positions 28 to 507 of the family's 1533-position model. The record is from RNAcentral.